This 253-nucleotide ribosomal RNA is filed under the name uncultured bacterium. RNAcentral describes it as "partial 16S ribosomal RNA". It matches the Rfam family "Bacterial small subunit ribosomal RNA", at positions 524 to 776 of the family's 1533-position model. The record is from RNAcentral.
UACGUAGGUGGCAAGCGUUAUCCGGAUUUACUGGGUGUAAAGGGCGUGUAGGCGGGAAAGCAAGUCAGAUGUGAAAACCAUGGGCUCAACCUGUGGCCUGCAUUUGAAACUGUUUUUCUUGAGUACUGGAGAGGCAGACGGAAUUCCUAGUGUAGCGGUGAAAUGCGUAGAUAUUAGGAGGAACACCAGUGGCGAAGGCGGUCCGCUGGACAGCAACUGACGCUGAGGCGCGAAAGCGUGGGGAGCAAACAGG